AGCUCUGUAAGCGUAUACCAAAGUUGUUGCAGUUAAAACGCUCGUAGUCGGAAUUUGGCAAUUUCGGAUGUGUGCGCGUCGUGCGCGCACUUUGCAGAGAUUGCUUUUGUGGGUAUGUGUGCGAUGAGGCAACUUUAUUGUUGAACGUCAAACGCAACCACUCUUUACUGUGAGAAAAUUAGAGUGUUCAAAGCAGGCAAUUGCCGUGAAUACAUUAGCAUGGAAUAAUAGAAUAGGACUUCGUCUUAUUUUGUUGGUUUGUUAAUUCGGAGUGAUGAUUAAGAGGGACAGUUGGGGGCAUUUGUAUUUCGGCGCUAGAGGUGAAAUUCUUAGAUUGCCGAAAGACAAACUGCUGCGAAAGCGUCUGCCAAGGAUGUUUUCAU
This 383-nucleotide ribosomal RNA is filed under the name uncultured eukaryote. RNAcentral's name for it is "SSU rRNA". It matches the Rfam family "Eukaryotic small subunit ribosomal RNA", at positions 587 to 973 of the family's 1831-position model. The record is from RNAcentral.